RNAcentral lists this ribosomal RNA (252 nucleotides) under uncultured bacterium. RNAcentral's name for it is "partial 16S ribosomal RNA". It matches the Rfam family "Bacterial small subunit ribosomal RNA", at positions 524 to 776 of the family's 1533-position model. The record is from RNAcentral.
GACAGAGGUGCCGAGCGUUAGGCGGAAUCACUGGGCUUAAAGCGUGUGUAGGCGGACUUCUAAGUACCUUGUGAAAUCCCAACGGCUCAACCGUGGAACUGCUUGGUAUACUGGUUGUCUUGAGCCACUUAGGGGCAGUCGGAACAGACGGUGGAGCGGUGAAAUGCGUAGAUAUCGUCUGGAACGCCAAAGGUGAAAACAGAACUGCUGGGAGUGUGCUGACGUGAGACACGAAGCCAGGGAGCAAACGGG